RNAcentral lists this ribosomal RNA (253 nucleotides) under uncultured bacterium. RNAcentral's name for it is "partial 16S ribosomal RNA". It matches the Rfam family "Bacterial small subunit ribosomal RNA", at positions 524 to 776 of the family's 1533-position model. The record is from RNAcentral.
UACGUAGGGUGCAAGCGUUAAUCGGAAUUACUGGGCGUAAAGCGUGCGCAGGCGGUUAUGUAAGACAGAUGUGAAAUCCCAGGGCUUAACCUUGGAACUGCAUUUGUGACUGCAUAGCUAGAGUACGGUAGAGGGGGAUGGAAUUCCGCGUGUAGCAGUGAAAUGCGUAGAUAUGCGGAGGAACACCGAUGGCGAAGGCAAUCCCCUGGACCUGUACUGACGCUCAUGCACGAAAGCGUGGGGAGCAAACAGG